UACAGAGGUCUCAAGCGUUGUUCGGAUUCAUUGGGCGUAAAGGGUGCGUAGGUGGCGGGGUAAGUCGGAUGUGAAAUUUCGGAGCUUAACUCCGAAACUGCAUUCGAUACUGGCGUGCUUGAGGACUGGAGAGGAGACUGGAAUUCAUGGUGUAGCAGUGAAAUGCGUAGAGAUCAUGAGGAAGACCAGUGGCGAAGGCGGGUCUCUGGACAGUUCCUGACACUGAGACACGAAGGCCAGGGGAGCAAACGGG
RNAcentral lists this ribosomal RNA (253 nucleotides) under uncultured bacterium. RNAcentral's name for it is "partial 16S ribosomal RNA". It matches the Rfam family "Bacterial small subunit ribosomal RNA", at positions 524 to 776 of the family's 1533-position model. The record is from RNAcentral.